RNAcentral lists this ribosomal RNA (497 nucleotides) under uncultured bacterium. Its description in RNAcentral is "partial 16S ribosomal RNA". It matches the Rfam family "Bacterial small subunit ribosomal RNA", at positions 28 to 507 of the family's 1533-position model. The record is from RNAcentral.
GAUGAACGCUGGCGGUGUGCCUAAUACAUGCAAGUCGAGCGAACAGACGAGGAGCUUACUCCUUUGACGUUAGCGGCGGACGGGUGAGUAACACGUGGAUAACCUACCUAUAAGACUGGGAUAACUUCGGGAAACCGGAGCUAAUACCGGAUAACAUGUUGAACCGCAUGGUUCAACAGUGAAAGACGGUCUUGCUGUCACUUAUAGAUGGAUCCGCGUCGCAUUAGCUAGUUGGUAAGGUAACGGCUUACCAGGGCAACGAUGCGUAGCCGACCUGAGAGGGUGAUCGGCCACACUGGAACUGAGACACGGUCCAGACUCCUACGGGAGGCAGCAGUAGGGAAUCUUCCGCAAUGGGCGAAAGCCUGACGGAGCAACGCCGCGUGAGUGAAGAAGGUCUUCGGAUCGUAAAACUCUGUUAUUAGGGAAGAACAAAUGUGUAAGUAACUAUGCACGUCUUGACGGUACCUAAUCAGAAAGCCACGGCUAACUACGUG